RNAcentral lists this non-coding RNA (90 nucleotides) under uncultured Intestinimonas sp. RNAcentral's name for it is "Glycine riboswitch". It matches the Rfam family "Glycine riboswitch aptamer", at positions 9 to 86 of the family's 94-position model. Rfam says of the family: This family represents the bacterial glycine riboswitch. Glycine riboswitches usually consist of two metabolite-binding aptamers domains with similar structures in tandem. Lineage: Bacteria; Bacillati; Bacillota; Clostridia; Eubacteriales. The record is from RNAcentral.
UCACUCUGGAGAAGCUCAUGAACUGGGUGCCGAAGGGGCAAACCGGCGCGGCAGCGCGCCGUCAAUCUCUCAGGCAAAAGGACAGAGGAU